RNAcentral lists this long non-coding RNA (1366 nucleotides) under Daphnia pulex (common water flea). Its description in RNAcentral is "uncharacterized LOC124194273, transcript variant X7". The record is from RNAcentral. Lineage: Eukaryota; Metazoa; Arthropoda; Branchiopoda; Diplostraca; Daphniidae.
UCGAGAUCAGCAGACGACAUUCAUCGACAAAAAUUCUUUUUCUUCGAGACGCUGUCCGAGAAGGUUACCUUAGCCAUUGGAUCAUGGCGGCUUUCUUUCCUGACGUUUUUCGUCAAUGCCUGGUGAAGUCUGAGCUUCUUCAUACAUUACGUGUACGUGAUCGCUGUCUUGUCAUGAAGAGGGUCUCCACUAAUUUGCAAGACAAUUAAGAUGAAAAGAGGAAAUUUGAAAAGGGUUCCUUGUUCGGUUUGAGCUGUUAAUGGUGUGUAUUGCAGUCAUUCCGUCGAGAGAUGCCCUGAGAUAACUACUAAGACUUCCCUCACAUCAUCGUCCUUUUAAAUGGAGAUGCUGUCCGAGAAGGCUUGGAUUGGCCAUUGCAGGCAAUUUUCUCUCGACAUUACAAGUUUUAGAAAUGUAAACUAAUGGGAUCAUGGUUUUUAACUUCUACUUGCAUGGUCAUAAGUAACAGUCUGGUGAAGUCCAAGCUUUUCAUUGCGCUUCGUGUACGUGAUCGCUGCCGUUUAAUGAAGGUUCUCUAAGUGGGUCUCCGGCCUCUUAGACUUGUUGCAGCGAGCUCUGGUGAAGGAUGUGGUGAGCUGUUGCAUGACGACCAUGUGCUGGUGUGGGGAAGUGCUGGAAUGUAUCUGUGGUUUCCAUUGUCAGUUAGAUGUAUGAGCUAAUUAUGUUGUUGCUCUGUGGUAUGCAGUUCAUGUUAAGGUGGUUUUGUUGCAGCCGCUGCUGCUGAAAGGGAGUCCAAGUCGAGUUGAGCUGCAGCUUUUGAAGCAGUUAACAAUGCUGAUGUUAUUCUGAAAUGUAACAUCAAUGAAGACAUCUUGAAAUGGUCUUGGUGAAGACGUCAUCAUCGAUCUUCUGCAUACAGUUUUUGUUAUCAAGAAGUGGAAGUAAGACUUGAAGCAAAGCUGCAAGAAAAUAAAUGGUAUCGACGUUAAUGUGCAGUGGUUUUACAGUCCGACUCCUGUUCAAACUGUUGCUUUCCUGAAUUUUGCCGGAGUCCUUGCAGUAGCUGAUCCUGAAGUUAUGAUGUCGGGGUUAUUCUGGAGUAGCUGUUGUUGAUGUCUUAAUUUACUGUGCAAGUUCAAUUCGGGUUGAUAAAAAUAUUAAUAUCCAUGUAGUAUGUGAUAUAGUAACCUUAAGCUAUUUUGUUAUCCAUUGUGGUAUGUUGUGAACUGAUCUUGGUCUAAACAUAAGUUGUGCUUCCUGAUAUUUCCCUCACCCAUAUUUAUCAAAUAACUCUUAAAUAAUGGGAUGUAAAAGAAAAGUUGAAAUUUUUCGUUGUGCGUUGGAAAUUUAUAUGAUAUAUUUUCCACAAUUACAUGUGAAAUGCCAAAAUAAAUAGAAAAACAAC